Molecule: ribosomal RNA, 474 nt
Filed under: uncultured bacterium
Lineage: Bacteria
Description: partial 16S ribosomal RNA
Rfam family: Bacterial small subunit ribosomal RNA
Source: RNAcentral
GACGAACGCUGGCGGCGUGCUUAACACAUGCAAGUCGAACGGUAAGGCCCUUCGGGGUACACGAGUGGCGAACGGGUGAGUAACACGUGGGUAAUCUGCCCUGCACAUCGGGAUAAGCCUGGGAAACUGGGUCUAAUACCGAAUAGGACCACAGGACACAUGUCCUGUGGUGGAAAGCUUUUGCGGUGUGGGAUGGGCCCGCGGCCUAUCAGCUUGUUGGUGGGGUGAUGGCCUACCAAGGCGACGACGGGUAGCCGGCCUGAGAGGGUGUCCGGCCACACUGGGACUGAGAUACGGCCCAGACUCCGACGGGAGGCAGCAGUGGGGAAUAUUGCACAAUGGGCGAAAGCCUGAUGCAGCGACGCCGCGUGGGGGAUGACGGCCGUCGGGUUGUAAACCUCUUUCACCAUCGACGAAGGUCCGGGUUUUCUCGGGCUGACGGUAGGUGGAGAAGAAGCACCGGCCAACUACGUG